AUGUCCUGUCAUGUUGAUAUCAUCCUGUAUGCUAAAUAUUAUGUCAUGCUGUUGCUUUAUACAUCAUUUAUAUACAGACAUUAAUUUAAUAUAUACAAUGACAUUACACUAUUUUCGAAAAUGAAAUGGGCCUAACUAUAUGCCCUGUACAUGCCACAGAAUCAAAAUGAGUAGUUACCCUGAAGACUAAGUCUUCAAAAGAUGAACUGCAGCAGUUGUAAAAAUGACUCUCUACGGUCCAGACCCAAAACCUGCGAGUUAAAACAGGUGAUUUGCAGCUCCUAACUUAUAAAGCAGCAUGUGCAUCUCAUAUGUAUGGGCCAGAAUUCGAAUAUGUUGUAAAAGCCAACACUUUCUUAAAGAACGAAAACAAUAGAGACCUGCUUAUGUUCUUGAAACUGCAUAUGCAGAAUUCUAUUGGUAUUUAUUUGAACUUUAAACAGAGAAGCAACUGAUAUUUUUUCUGUUCUUUUCCUUAUUUCUAAUUGAAGAAGUAAGUUUCCUUUUUUAUUAUGUCAAAAACAUUUUUAUUUGCUAUAUAUAGCAUGGUAUGCCUGACUUGUAAUUCUGUUCAUAAA
Jatropha curcas is the source of this 578-nucleotide non-coding RNA. The record is from RefSeq and is a predicted model, not a curated record. Lineage: Eukaryota; Viridiplantae; Streptophyta; Magnoliopsida; Malpighiales; Euphorbiaceae.